This 101-nucleotide ribosomal RNA is filed under the name Escherichia coli. Lineage: Bacteria; Pseudomonadati; Pseudomonadota; Gammaproteobacteria; Enterobacterales; Enterobacteriaceae. The record is from RNAcentral.
UGGCGGCCUUAGCGCGGUGGUCCCACCUGACCCCAUGCCGAACUCAGAAGUGAAACGCCGUAGCGCCGAUGGUAGUGUGGGGUCUCCCCAUGCGAGAGUAG